GACGAACGCUGGCGGCGUGCUUAACACAUGCAAGUCGAACGGAAAGGCCCUGCUUUUGUGGGGUGCUCGAGUGGCGAACGGGUGAGUAACACGUGAGUAACCUGCACUUGACUUUGGGAUAACUUCAGGAAACUGGGGCUAAUACCGGAUAGGAGCUCCUGCUGCAUGGUGGGGGUUGGAAAGUUUCGGCGGUUGGGGAUGGACUCGCGGCUUAUCAGCUUGUUGGUGGGGUAGUGGCUUACCAAGGCUUUGACGGGUAGCCGGCCUGAGAGGGUGACCGGCCACAUUGGGACUGAGAUACGGCCCAGACUCCUACGGGAGGCAGCAGUGGGGAAUAUUGCACAAUGGGCGGAAGCCUGAUGCAGCAACGCCGCGUGCGGGAUGACGGCUUUCGGGUUGUAAACCGCUUUCGCCUGUGACGAAGCGUGAGUGACGGUAAUGGGUAAAGAAGCACCGGCUAACUACGUG
This 468-nucleotide ribosomal RNA is filed under the name uncultured bacterium. RNAcentral describes it as "partial 16S ribosomal RNA". It matches the Rfam family "Bacterial small subunit ribosomal RNA", at positions 28 to 507 of the family's 1533-position model. The record is from RNAcentral.